This 72-nucleotide transfer RNA is filed under the name Notamacropus eugenii (tammar wallaby). RNAcentral's name for it is "tRNA-Ala (TGC) (tRNA-Ala-TGC-4-1)". It matches the Rfam family "tRNA". Rfam says of the family: Transfer RNA (tRNA) molecules are approximately 80 nucleotides in length. Their secondary structure includes four short double-helical elements and three loops (D, anti-codon, and T loops). Lineage: Eukaryota; Metazoa; Chordata; Mammalia; Diprotodontia; Macropodidae. The record is from RNAcentral.
GGGGAUAUAGCUCAGUGGUAGAGCGCACGCUUUGCAUGCGUGAGGCCCCGGGUUCGAUCCCCGGUAUCUCCA